AACGCUGGCUUCAUGCCUAACAGAAGACAAGUCGAACGCGUGGAGCGAUCCACGAGUGGCGCAUGGUGUUCCCACGCGUGGGAACCUGCCCUGCAGUGUGGGAUAACCCGGCCAAAGCCGGGAUAAAACCGCCUACCCCCUUGGCUCGAGCCUUGGGGAAAGAUUUAUCGCUCUUGGAUGGGCCCGCGUCAGAUUACCUACUUGGCGGGGUAACGGCCCAUCAAUGCGACGAUCCCUACCUGGGCAUAGAUGACGAUCAUCCACUCUGGGACUGAAACACUGCCCACACUCCUACUGGAGGCAGCAUUGGGA
Molecule: ribosomal RNA, 312 nt
Filed under: uncultured Alphaproteobacteria bacterium
Lineage: Bacteria; Pseudomonadati; Pseudomonadota; Alphaproteobacteria
Description: bacterial SSU rRNA
Rfam family: Bacterial small subunit ribosomal RNA
Source: RNAcentral